UACACCAGGGAAGGGAAUAUGGCUUCUCUGACAUAUCUGCUUUGUGUUCUUUAUGUUUUCAUUCCAGGAUCCUGUAGAGAGAUUGUACUGACCCAAUCUCAAGAUUAUAUAUCUGUGUCCCCAGGAGAUACAGUCACCAUCUCAUGUACAUCUAGUUCUGAUAUAAGCAAUUACUUACACUGGUACCAACAGAAACCAGGACAACGACCAAGUCUUCUUAUAUCUUAUGCAACCAGCAGACAUACAGGAGUCCCAGACCGGUUCACUGGAUCUAGAUCUGGAACACAUUUCACUCUUACAAUCAGAGGAGUGACAGAAGAUGAUAUAGCAGAUUAUCACUGUCAGCAGGGUUAUUCUCUCCCUCUUACACAGUGAUACAGAGCCGUACAAAAACCUUCUUCCUCCUAAUAAAAGAAAACACAUUACUGAAGCAUGAUAUAGACAGAAAUAGAAAUAAACCACCAGAGCGUUCAGGGGAUUGUUACAGACUUGGUUCUGCUUGAUCUCAGAUGAAUGUGAUGUCAUUCAGACCUGAUCCUAUAGAUGUGAUUGUGAUACUGAGCGGCUGAUGACAUAACAG
Molecule: non-coding RNA, 580 nt
Organism: Hyla sarda
Lineage: Eukaryota; Metazoa; Chordata; Amphibia; Anura; Hylidae
Source: the annotation of a RefSeq genome assembly